AUUGAACGCUGGCGGCAGGCCUAACACAUGCAAGUCGAGCGGUAGCACAGGGAGCUUGCUCCUGGGUGACGAGCGGCGGACGGGUGAGUAAUGUCUGGGAAACUGCCUGAUGGAGGGAGAUAACUACUGGAAACGGUAGCUAAUACCGCAUAACGUCGCAAGACCAAAGAGGGGGACCUUCGGGCCUCUUGCCAUCAGAGGUGCCCAGAUGGGAUUAGCUAGUAGGUGGGGUAACGGCUCACCUAGGCGACGAUCCCUAGCUGGUCUGAGAGGAUGACCAGCCACACUGGAACUGAGACACGGUCCAGACUCCUACGGGAGGCAGCAGUGGGGAAUAUUGCACAAUGGGCGCAAGCCUGAUGCAGCCAUGCCGCGUGUAUGAAGAAGGCCUUCGGGUUGUAAAGUACUUUCAGCGGGGAGGAAGGCGAUAAGGUUAAUAACCUUGUCGAUUGACGUUACCCGCAGAAGAAGCACCGGCUAACUCCGUGCCAGCAGCCGCGGUAA
RNAcentral lists this ribosomal RNA (504 nucleotides) under uncultured bacterium. RNAcentral describes it as "partial 16S ribosomal RNA". It matches the Rfam family "Bacterial small subunit ribosomal RNA", at positions 30 to 523 of the family's 1533-position model. The record is from RNAcentral.